Molecule: long non-coding RNA, 289 nt
Filed under: Salmo salar (Atlantic salmon)
Lineage: Eukaryota; Metazoa; Chordata; Actinopteri; Salmoniformes; Salmonidae
Description: lncRNA (ENSSSAG00000087700.1)
Source: RNAcentral
AGGAUACAACGGGUGUAAAAAUGCAGAGUGAAAUUCUUAACCCUGCGCCCCAGCCCCAACAACAACCUGACCUGAACUAUGCUUCUCUUGACCUGAACGUGGGACAGAUACCCAAGAAGAGGAAGCGUCGCUACCAGCAGGCCCAGGCCCAGGCCCAGGCCCUGCCCGAGUCCCAGAUGGGUGGGGGUUUCCUGGAAAUAGAUGCGGAAAUGGAGGCCUCCCUCCCCUCACGGAGUAGCAGCCCUCUGGCUUCUAGAAACAGCAUCUAUCUCAACAGUCUACAGAUGGC